UACAGAGGUCUCAAGCGUUGUUCGGAUUCAUUGGGCGUAAAGGGUGCGUAGGUGGCGGGGUAAGUCUGGUGUGAAAUCUCGGGGCUCAACCCCGAAACUGCACUGGAUACUGCCUUGCUCGAGUACUGGAGAGGAGAUUGGAAUUUACGGUGUAGCAGUGAAAUGCGUAGAUAUCGUAAGGAAGACCAGUGGCGAAGGCGAGUCUCUGGCACGCAUCUGACGCUGAAACACGAAAGCCAGGGGAGCGAACGGG
This 253-nucleotide ribosomal RNA is filed under the name uncultured bacterium. RNAcentral describes it as "partial 16S ribosomal RNA". It matches the Rfam family "Bacterial small subunit ribosomal RNA", at positions 524 to 776 of the family's 1533-position model. The record is from RNAcentral.